RNAcentral lists this unclassified non-coding RNA (268 nucleotides) under Hevea brasiliensis (rubber tree). Lineage: Eukaryota; Viridiplantae; Streptophyta; Magnoliopsida; Malpighiales; Euphorbiaceae. The record is from RNAcentral.
AUUUCCUGCAGAUCUCCAAGUUCUGGAGCAAGUGCAGGUUGACUAUGAAUCGAUGCCCGGUUGGCAGAGUGAUAUCUCUACUAUUCGGAACUACAAUGACCUUCCGGUUGCUGCUCGUCGAUAUGUUGAGAGAAUAGAAGAGCUGGUCGGUGUUCCCAUUCACUAUAUUGGUAUUGGACCAGGCCGUGAUGCUCUCAUAUACAAGUAAUUUGAGGGUUGUUCAGGUGAAUUUCAUUGCCCUAAUUUGAAUAUUACUUCAGUGGUUUUG